This is a non-coding RNA of Acanthosepion pharaonis, 111 nucleotides long. Lineage: Eukaryota; Metazoa; Mollusca; Cephalopoda; Sepiida; Sepiidae. The record is from the annotation of a GenBank genome assembly.
UAGCCAUAUCAUGUUGAAACAUUGGUUCCCAUAUGAUCAACAAAGUUAAGCAAUGUCAAACCUGGUCAGUACAAAGAUGGGUGACCACAUGGGAAUACCAGGUACCGUAAG